Elaeis guineensis (African oil palm) is the source of this 2116-nucleotide RNA transcript. RefSeq lists it as uncharacterized. The record is from RefSeq and is a predicted model, not a curated record. NCBI's taxonomy places the organism in Eukaryota, Viridiplantae, Streptophyta, Magnoliopsida, Arecales, Arecaceae.
AGAUUUAUCAUCUACGCACCCCGGUUUCUAUCAGUGGGAAGACUGGGAGCAAACCCUCUCCCUCCGGAUCACCAUCGUCUCUCCUUGCCGUCUCGUUGGAAUAAAAAGAAGGGAUUCAAUCCUUGGAUCGGUAGGCAUCCAAGCUAAUGCAACUCUAUCUCCUCCAACCCCCCCUCACCCCAACUUCACCAUUCCACUCGCCUCUCAUCAAUGGGAGAAAUCCUCUCCUGCACCCACCCAAGACCCCCUUCCUCCCCUCUUUGGUCGGCAACCCCUCCCUUCUCAAAGGCGUCUCCUUUAGGCCACGUCCCCGUUGCCGGAAUGGUAAGGUCACCUCCUCCAUGAUUGAAAGCCCUGUUCUUUGGGCUGGCAGGCUCUGCAUCUUCUAUGCCCUCCUAAAGGCUGGCCUUGCGGGCUCCCAAUCCAAUCCAUUCAUCUCUUCAGAGGAGGGGAAUGGUGGUGCUGAUUUGGGGUUUUUCAAGUUGAUUGAGAGCUUGCAAGGGAGAUCAGAUGAUAAAGAAGCAAAGGAUAGAAGGAAACUAGUCAGUAAGUGGCAUCCAACAACCAAAGGUACACUCAAGAGGAGUUACAGAGUACCUUCAAAGAAUGAAGGCCGCCGCCUCCUAAAAGCCAUUGCAUCCUUACUCUCUGAUGAUGAUCAUUUCACUGAUGCUACCUCACACAAGGGUUGUCAAAUAAGGAGGGAGAGUGCUCAUGGGGAAAGUGUAUGCUGCAACAAUGUGCGAGCUCUGUUUGAUGAGCUUCCCACUCCACACCUGGUUGUUGAGAUCACUGCUUUUCCUGCAGGGCCACUAACAGACAGAGACUAUGUGAAGGCUGAGAAGCUUGAGAGGGUGUUGAGGUCUGGAUCUUCCAUUUGAGUCUUAUUACCUUCAUACAUGCGACUGUACAUCAAUGAAUGACUUGUACAUGUGUAUCAUGGUAGGAGGACAUGAACUCUGGUGCAAAUGCAUGGUAAAACAGUCGAACACCAACAACAAAUACUUGGCACAAAGAUAGGUGGCAGUUGACAUUUAUGAUAUGUUGUUUUUUUUCCAGGUUUAACAAUUUGAUACUAUCGGUUUUCUAUAGUAUCUUCUUAUUUGUGGUUUGUCGCUUGGUGUUUAUUACUUAUCCGAAGUGCUUUCUUCUUAUUGUUUGUAAAGCCUAGUUGGGAGCUAGGAGAGGUAAAGAACAGUGUAAAUGCAGAUGCCUACAUUUGUUUCAGCUAAAAUGGUCUAAUGUUCCACAUUGUGGAGAAGAUACAGAGGAGAAUAAUGGAGAGAUGAAGAUAAGGCUUGAAAUGACCUUGAUUAAUGCAACAGUCAGUUAUGUGCUAAUAUUAAUUUUACUCUAAAAUAAUCAUUCAAUUUUUCAAUAUUUUAGGUAUCAUCGCUUGUUUGUCCAUGGAUCAAAAGAAUUUUACUUGCAUCAUGAAUGUUGGUGAAACUGCUAUUUUUGAUAGUGAUUCUUACCCUGAGUUUUGUCCCGACAAAAAGUGGAUACAACUGACUGUAAUCAGAAACACUGAAAAUGGAAUAGCAAAGUGGUCAUAACAUUGAACAAAAUUUUAGAUUCUUAAAGUUGCUUGGCAUCAGGGGAUGUGCUUCAAUCUGGUAAUCUGGAACUUUUUAUGGAAGAAAAAUCAAGGAAAAACUUAAGAUGACCCAUUCGAUUUGCUAACAGAUGAUUCUUGAAAUCACCUUGAAAUCAUCCCGGACAAUACUCAUGCAGCUUCUUUCAAACAUGGAGAUGCAAUUGGCAAUACCUAUAUGUUGAGGUCCAGAAACUGCUGGUCGGGUAGCAGUGUCGAAUGGAGAUAACCAGCUCAGCCAGGGAUGAUAAAUACAAGCUCAAAUUGCUCAAUUUUCAAACAGUAAAUAUUUAGUACAAAUUACAAGGCAGAUAAAGUCAGAAAGUAGAAUUCACUAAAAGAUGACUUGCAUAAAAAGUUAUGACCAGAUUAGCUCCUGGUCUGUACAUUGAUUGAAACUCAGACCCGAAAAGAAAUAAAAAUAAGGGACAGCUGAGCUAAGUUGGGAACAUAAAUUGACUAUCUUCCAAAAUUCCUUUUUUUCCCUCAAUAAAUACUGUACAGAAACGGAAAAAAAAAAAA